This 1030-nucleotide ribosomal RNA is filed under the name uncultured soil bacterium. RNAcentral's name for it is "bacterial SSU rRNA". It matches the Rfam family "Bacterial small subunit ribosomal RNA", at positions 337 to 1396 of the family's 1533-position model. The record is from RNAcentral.
UCCUACGGGAGGCAGCAGUGAGGAAUUUUCCACAAUGGACGAAAGUCUGAUGGAGCAACGCCGCGUGCAGGAAGACGGCUUUCGGGUUGUAAACUGCUUUUAUUUGGGAAGAUUAUGACGGUACCAAAUGAAUAAGGAUCGGCUAACUACGUGCCAGCAGCCGCGGUAAUACGUAGGAUCCAAGCGUUAUCCGGAAUUACUGGGCGUAAAGCGUACGUAGGUGGAAAUUUAAGUGAGAUGCGAAAUCUGGCGGCUCAACCGUCUAGACUGUGUCUCAUACUGGGUUUCUUGAGGUUGGUAGAGGCAAGUGGAAUUUCCGGUGUAGCAGUGAAAUGCGUAGAGAUCGGAAGGAACACCAAUGGCGAAGGCAGCUUGCUGGGCCACACCUGACACUGAGGUACGAAAGCGUGGGGAGCGAACAGGAUUAGAUACCCUGGUAGUCCACGCCGUAAACGAUGGAUGCUAGUAGUUCGAGGUAUCGACCCCUUGGGCUGCGAAGCUAACGCGUUAAGCAUCCCGCCUGGGGAGUACGAGCGCAAGCUUAAAACUCAAAGGAAUUGACGGGGACCCGCACAAGCGGUGGAUGAUGUGGUUUAAUUCGAUGCUACGCGAAGAACCUUACCCAGGCUUGACAUCCUGCGAAUCUGUUGGAAACAACGGAGUGCCUUCGGGAGCGCAGUGACAGGUGUUGCAUGGCCGUCGUCAGCUCGUGUCGUGAGAUGUUUGGUUAAGUCCAUUAACGAGCGCAACCCUUAUCGUCUGUUACAAUUUCAGGCGAGACUGCCCCGGCCAACGGGGAGGAAGGUGGGGAUGAGGUCAGGUCAGCAUGGCCCUUACGCCUGGGGCUACACACGUCAUACAAUGGCCGGUACAACGCGUUUGCCAACCCGCGAGGGGGAGCUAAUCGUAUCAAAACCGGUCCCAGUUCGGAUUGGAGGCUGCAACUCGCCUCCAUGAAGUUGGAAUCGCUAGUAAACGUGGGUCAGCAUACCACGUUGAAUACGUUCCCGGGCCUUGUACACACCGCCAU